CCUACGGGAGGCAGCAGUGGGGAAUAUUGCACAAUGGGGGAAACCCUGAUGCAGCGACGCCGCGUGAGUGAAGAAGUAUCUCGGUACGUAAAGCUCUAUCAGCAGGAAAGAAAAUGACGGUACCUGACUAAGAAGCCCCGGCUAAAUACGUGCCAGCAGCCGCGGUAAUACGUAGGGGGCAAGCGUUAUCCGGAUUUACUGGGGGUAAAGGGAGCGUAGACGGCGCUGCAAGUCCGGAGUGAAAGCCCAUGGCUGAACCAUGGUACUGCUCUGGAAACUGUAGAGCUUGAGUGCGGGAGGGGCAGGCGGAAGUCCUGGUGUAGCGGUGAAAUGCGUAGAUAUUAGGAGGAACACCGGCGGCGAAGGCGACCUGCUGGACCGUAACUGACGUUGAGGCUCGAAAGCGUGGGGAGCAAACAGGAUUAGAUACCCGGGUAGUC
RNAcentral lists this ribosomal RNA (440 nucleotides) under uncultured bacterium. RNAcentral describes it as "partial 16S ribosomal RNA". It matches the Rfam family "Bacterial small subunit ribosomal RNA", at positions 338 to 795 of the family's 1533-position model. The record is from RNAcentral.